Molecule: ribosomal RNA, 305 nt
Filed under: uncultured bacterium
Lineage: Bacteria
Description: bacterial SSU rRNA
Rfam family: Bacterial small subunit ribosomal RNA
Source: RNAcentral
UGGGCCUACGGGACGCAGCAGUGGGGAAUAUUGGGCAAUGGGCGCAAGCCUGACCCAGCAACGCCGCGUGAGUGAAGAAGUAUUUCGGUAUGUAAAGCUCUAUCAGCAGGGAAGAAAAUGACGGUACCUGACUAAGAAGCCCCGGCUAACUACGUGCCAGCAGCCGCGGUAAUACGUAGGGGGCAAGCGUUAUCCGGAUUUACUGGGUGUAAAGGGAGCGUAGACGGUAGAGCAAGUCUGAAGUGAAAGCCCGCGGCUCAACUGCGGGACUGCUUUGGAAACUGUUCAACUGGAGUGCUGGAGAG